AUCAUAGGGUACCCAUCUAAGCCAUGAAAGAGGAAGAGUGCCUCCUUCACACUCUGACAACACCCCAAGGAAGAUCAUGAACAACAGAUGAAGCGUCAUAGGAGACCCAUCUAAGCCAUAGCUGAGGACUCCUCAAAAACUUGGCAACUCCAGAAAGUUUCGCAUUCUAAAAGGACCCUAAAUUAACGAUUUAACCAGAGCCAAGGGAGAAGGGUAGCUCGACCAAAGCACCGCAGAUUGCUUAAGGAGGGUGAUAAGGCAGAGCUUGGUUGACAAAAGCCCUUGGAAUCGACCAUAGAAGGCAAAGCCGGCAAAAAACCCCCCAAGGUACCUGCAUACCCCAAGACAACUCUUUGCAGAACCAUAAAGCUAGAGGCUAUAAAAGAGCACCCAAAGCUGCACGCAUAACCCAAGGCCGAACUAAACAGCAUCAUCCAUGGUAGAACCGAUGGAAGCUCUCCCUAUUCAACACCAUCUACAACAAAAAUCAUCAAAUCCUCAUUUCUUCACAAUCUCCAUCCGAAGAUGAGAGAGCGAAACCCACUACCGAGUAGAAGAGAGGGGGGUCUUCCCUGCCCACAUAGGACAAGGGAGACCGCAGAAUCCGGCAAAGAAAGAAGCUGAGUACCUCAGAAAUCAACCUUACAAAGAGGAAAUUCUGUCUCUAAAAUCGUUAGAAAAGAGUGGAGAUAAUAUUGUUCUUUCCCAAUCAAAUGAUACUUGAUGAUUUCCCUUGGAACGUAUUGAUGUUGAUAGAACUCACUCCAAAUUUGUGAUCAUAGCCAAUAUUUGGAUGUACGAUAGUUACCAGAUUAAAAUCGGGCACUGGAACCAAGACAAAUUGGGCAUUGUAGCCUCCACCCCCAAUAUUAUUAGAUUCAGAAAUCGUUCAGUCAUGGAAUACGGUCGUCACACGGUCGGCCAAGCUUUCAAUCAGCAAAUACAUGCAACGCACCAAAAGUCUAAAGUGUCAGAUUAGUGAAAUGCACAAAACCUCGUAUGAUUUGAUUCCGCUGUCUGAACCUUUAAGCUGCUAAU
RNAcentral lists this unclassified non-coding RNA (1038 nucleotides) under Hevea brasiliensis (rubber tree). Lineage: Eukaryota; Viridiplantae; Streptophyta; Magnoliopsida; Malpighiales; Euphorbiaceae. The record is from RNAcentral.